GUUUCUGAGAAGGGGCACAGCAGGCAGAGGGAAUGGCAGGCAGAGCAGGAUGUGGAGCAGGCUGGGGCCUGCAGCGGCACCAGGUAUGUGGCUGAGGCAGGCGCUGGCCCGCGGCAGGUGCAGCUCAGCCAGUGCCCGGCGGCCUCAGGAAAGGAAAACCUGCAGGUGCAGUUGGGACUUGUCCUGAGACUCCCCAGCCACGCGUUUUUCUGAAUAGUUGUCCUAUCUGCGUUGCCUGCCUGUGAGAUUAUGGUCUGCAUGGAAGGGGCUUCCAAGGAGGGAGAGGUUUGGUGGAGCCUCCAGUUCUGGUGUAUACUAGCUUCUUAGGAAGUGAGGGGCAGCCUCAGAAAGCAGGGCAAGCAUGGGUGUUCCAGAACUGCAUGCUGACUGAGACUGCACCAGAGGACCAGUGGCAGUGGAAUUCCUUCUGCCAUCCCCAGGCCAGCCAGUCACCCCUAGAGCCACACCUCUGCAUGCUGCCCCAGCCUGUAUCAGACAGAUGAGAGUCUAUUGAUUGCAGAUUGGCACCUGCAGCUUCCUCCCAGCUCUCCUGCACACCAAAGAUUCUUCAGCUCCCCAACAUGAUGCCCAUCAUGCUGCAGACUUCCAAAGCCUACCUGAAUUCUCCUUGGUUGGAUUCCCAAGAACCAAUGUGGUUCAGCACACAUCAUACUCAGUAGUCUGUUAAAUUAUCUCUCAGCCCCUCUCAUGACCUGUAAUCAGAGGCAGUUUAGCAAAUAAGCAAUGAUUGUCUCAAGUGGAAACAAGUAAAAAAUGGAGCUACAUAUCUUAUACAAGUUUCAAACACUUCGUCGCAGGGACCUGCCACCCCAUUCAGAAAAGUCUAAUGAAGAUGUGGGGUGAGGUUCUGGGAAGUGGGGAGAUCUUGUCUUUUCAGAAAGUUAACUCAAGGAAUGAUGGUUAUUGUAGCAGUCACUGUGACCCGCAGAACAAGGAGGAGGAACAGGUUGAUACCUCACUCUGCCUGGACACUGACCCAGGAAAGGGGCUAGGGCUGCACGAAAAGGAAGUGUUGGGGCACAGGGGUGACCCUGGAACACCGGCUCCUUUCAAAGUAGAACAGAAAGAACAGCACCGGCCAUAGAACGCCCUGGGAACUCGCCCUAGAGAGAGGCCAGGAGGGGAAAGACGCUGAGAGAAUGUAAAGGGUCUAGGUGGGGUCGGUACGGGAGCGCUGGGUGGAGGAGCGGUAGAUGGAGGCCUGCAGGCGGGAGAAGGCAGGAGGAAGCUUAGGGCCACCCUGGCACGGGCAUCUGGAGAGAUGGCACGCUGGGGCAGCACUGCACAUUGGUUGGUUCUUUCCCCGGCCGACAUCCAGUCUCUGGGCAGGUGGGGAGAGGUGCAGAGAAGCGCCUCUGUGAGGAGGGCUGGAGGGGCUGCAGUGGGAGCCCUCCUUUCUCAGGUCAUGUGCUCCGGCUGCCCCACACACGCCUCCCAGUCCCUCCCUGGCAUCCUCAGGCCACCUGAGGCAGGUAGGCGGCGGCUGCAACCACACACCUGCCCUGUCAGGACCUGUUGUUUCUGGAGAAGAAUGCAAGAACAUGAAAUCCCUUCAAUGCUGUGUUGCCCUGCAGUGUGUGUGUGUGUGUGUGUGUGUGUGUGUGUGUGUGUGUAGGGAAGAGUUCACAGCACAAAAUCAAAUGUAAAUCUAUUUAAGCCCUGACCCCAGGAGCCAGAAAGUCAGAUAGAGACCAGACAUAGAAAGAGACAGAAAAGGAUCACUCCUUGUUUAAAAGAAAGCACCUGAGCCUCUCUGCUUGUGGUUCACAUGAAACCCUAAAAGGCAGAACUCUUUGUUCCCAGCUGCAGUGGACAAAACACGACACACCUUGCUCCUUCGUUCUCCUGUACAUCAGCCUCAGUGCCUCCUGGGCUGGGGAGCGGCCCUGAAACCCGCACUCUGCCCUUUGCUUUGAACUCAGCCCUUAAGGCCGCAUCCUCCAGGAUCCAGUAAGCUAAUACCUUUGGUUGAACCCCUGAGCAAGAACUCCUCAGCACACCCCGAGGCAAGAGUUCCCACCGCCAAAACUCAUCUUGUCCCAUAGCACCCUACCCACAGCCUUGUUCUGUGGACUCUUCAGCCGAGUGAAAUGGAGCUCUGACCCUUGGCCUCUCCAAGGAGCCCAAAGGGUUCCUGCAGCACAGUGCGCCUGGACUCACACAAGUACGGCGUGUGUGUGGUGGCGGAGGUGGGAGGUCAUCAGAAUACCUGCCACAUAGGGCAGAGAAGAUGUAAGUGAACAAAUUGAAAGUACUUACAGUGGGGUCUGGCAUAGACGACAUGCUCAAUAAAUGUUAGCUCCCAUAAUUAUCACAUGUAGAUGAUUUAUCAUGUGAAGAUCUUCGUGCUUUGGUCACCUUUCGGGGACUUGAAUCUGUUUUCCUACUCAAUGUCACAUCCCCAGGAACAGCAGUGACUGCAGCUUCCUUCUGGAUCCCGCUCACCGCGCUCAGGCAGUGCUCAGUAGGAGCCGCUGGCUGCCUGCCACUUGCCACAGUUCCAGAGCACAGUUGGAAUCCCUCCACGGAUCAGCGUCCGCAGUGGGCACGCCUGGAAGGAGCCAAGGUAAUCACCGUAGCCCUGACCCACAGCCAGAGUAGAUGCUCACUUCCUGAAGCCGGCCCACAGAACUCUCAGCUUAUCCAAGAUGAACUCCGCACACCUGAAGCUCUUACAGGUCCAAGGAAAGGAAAAAGGAAACUCAUGGCUCCUGCUGGUUUUCUUCACUAGACUGUUGGGCCACACCAGUGUUCACAGCUCAGACCCUCUGAUGCCCCUUGCAGGAGUGUUCCAGGAGAGGGACACGAGCCUGUGGACUCCCACGGCAUGAACGUCCCAGCCAGGCUGCCAGGAUGACCCUGCUCUUCCUGACCUCCUCGCCCCUCUGUGGGGUGAGUGUGAGUACAGAGUACUAAGGGACACAGGAUCAGUUCUUGAGAGGAUGAGAGCCAGGCAUAGAUCAUCCCUGCAAGAAUUUAGGGUUACGUAGGGUCCAUGUGCUAUAGCAAAAUGUGACUGUACCAUGGAGUGGAACUAAUAUUUCCUUAUUAAAGGACUACACAGUGAGACACUGGUGCCCCAAGGCCACUCUAGCUUCCCUGCUCAUUUAUGGGAAAAGUGGAUGGAGGUGUCCAGCCCCAGUUUCAACGGUGCUAUAUGAAAUCCUGAAGCCUGUCCCUUCUAGUGGUGAAAUUAUUACUCAGGCUCAUCUACACAGGCAUAACUACUAAAACUUUGCCCAGUGAGGAAUUACCUCACCUACCCCUAACUGAACUGUUCACAUGAAAAAUAAAAUAAAAGCCAGUCUUAAGUGGAUCUCCCACACUAUUGAUGGCCUGAGGUGCUGGGGCUCGUUAGGAUUAGGGCCUGGAAAAAUAAAUAGUGACUGAAGUUAAGUCAUUUUGAUUAGCAGCUUCAGUAAAAGAAACAAUAAUUGGCUUGGGAAUUAUUUGAAGGCUAUAUGAAUCUUUUGGCUCAGGAAAGGAAAUAUAUAUGCUCUGUGACUGCUCUGUUGAGCAGAAUACAUCCAAUACCUUAACGUGGGAGGAGACUAUUGUAUGCAAGGAACUAAUAUAAAGUUCCUUUGCAAGACAUGUGCUCGAAAUAAAAGAUUUCAGAUGUCCCUCCAGAAGAGAAACUCACUAAGAAUGGGAAACAGAUUUCUCAUGAAAUUAUUAAUUGCAAAACAAAUACAGAAAGGACACUUUCUGCAUGUCCUCCAAACAGUGCCAAUGGUUCAGGGUUUGCAUACAAUCAGGUAUCCUUAAAGGCCAGGUCACAGAAGUAUGGGAGAAAACCAUAUGGGAGUUGUGAAGACCAGAGACCCUAUAAGCUCCUAGCCAGGUGACAUCUUCUUGUCUCCUUCUGCUGUUUUUGCUUGUUAUGAAGAGUUAAAAUUCUGCUGCCUAUGGGUCCUUGGCACCAUGCAUGAACCUGGAGAACAUUAGACUGAGUGAAAUAGAUAGAACUCAGGCAGAGAGACAAUUACUGCCUGUUGUCACCAUAUGUCAACGUUUCAAAAGUCAACUCAGAAGUACACCAUAGAAUAGUCGUUACCAGGGUGAGGAAG
Molecule: long non-coding RNA, 4091 nt
Filed under: Heterocephalus glaber (naked mole-rat)
Lineage: Eukaryota; Metazoa; Chordata; Mammalia; Rodentia; Bathyergidae
Description: lncRNA (ENSHGLG00000048421.1)
Source: RNAcentral